GACGAACGCUGGCGGCGUGCUUAACACAUGCAAGUCGAGCGAGAAAGCCCCUUCGGGGGUGAGUACAGCGGCGAACGGGUGAGUAACACGUAGGAAUCUACCCUUAAGACGGGGACAACCCAGGGAAACUUGGGCUAAUACUGGAUGAGAGUGCGAGAGAUUGCAUUUAAAAGGAUGGCGAAAGUUGUCGCUUAGGGAUGAGCCUGCGGUCUAUUAGUUAGUUGGUGAGGUAAGAGCUCACCAAGGCGAUGAUAGAUAGGCGGCCUUAACGGGUGGUCGCCCACACUGGGAUUGAGAUACGGCCCAGACUCCUACGGGAGGCAGCAGUCGAGAAUAGUCUACAAUGGCCGGAAGGCUGAUAGUGCGACGCCGCGUGAACGAGGGAGCCCUUCGGGUGUAAAGUCUUUUCUAUACGAGCAGUGCUAUAUAUAUGGAUAGUAUAUAUAGAGGGAUAGUAGUAUAGGAAUAAGACAACGGCUAACUCCGUGCCAGCAGCCGCGGU
This 502-nucleotide ribosomal RNA is filed under the name uncultured bacterium. RNAcentral describes it as "bacterial SSU rRNA". It matches the Rfam family "Bacterial small subunit ribosomal RNA", at positions 28 to 521 of the family's 1533-position model. The record is from RNAcentral.